ACUUAAAUAAUUUAAUUUAAAAUUCUGGGGUGUGGUUCUGGAUAUGCUAUAUAUUGCUUUAAGUU
RNAcentral lists this transfer RNA (65 nucleotides) under Pulchriphyllium bioculatum. RNAcentral describes it as "tRNA-His". Lineage: Eukaryota; Metazoa; Arthropoda; Insecta; Phasmatodea; Phylliidae. The record is from RNAcentral.